RNAcentral lists this non-coding RNA (30 nucleotides) under Rattus norvegicus (Norway rat). The record is from RNAcentral. Lineage: Eukaryota; Metazoa; Chordata; Mammalia; Rodentia; Muridae.
UGUGUGGCCUAUUUUCCAAACGGGACUGGG